UAGUGAUUUUGAUCCUGGCUCAGGGUGAACGCUGGCGGCGUGCUUAAGACAUGCAAGUCGAACGGCAGUCUUCGGACUGUAGUGGCGCACGGGUGAGUAACGCGUAACUGACCUACCCCAAAGUCGCGGAUAACGGUUCGAAAGAAUCGCUAAUACGUGAUGUGCUGCUCCCUCCUGUGGGAUCAGUAAAGGUUUACUGCUUUGGGAUGGGGUUGCGGCGCAUCAGCUCGUUGGUGAGGUAAAGGCUCACCAAGGCAACGACGCGUAACCGGCCUGAGAGGGUGGUCGGUCACAGGGGCACUGAGACACGGGG
This 313-nucleotide ribosomal RNA is filed under the name uncultured Deinococcus sp. RNAcentral's name for it is "bacterial SSU rRNA". It matches the Rfam family "Bacterial small subunit ribosomal RNA", at positions 1 to 331 of the family's 1533-position model. The record is from RNAcentral. Lineage: Bacteria; Thermotogati; Deinococcota; Deinococci; Deinococcales; Deinococcaceae.